RNAcentral lists this ribosomal RNA (253 nucleotides) under uncultured bacterium. RNAcentral describes it as "partial 16S ribosomal RNA". It matches the Rfam family "Bacterial small subunit ribosomal RNA", at positions 524 to 776 of the family's 1533-position model. The record is from RNAcentral.
UACGUAGGGUGCGAGCGUUGUCCGGAAUUACUGGGCGUAAAGAGCUCGUAGGUGGUUUGUCGCGUUGUUCGUGAAAACCUGAGGCUUAACCUUGGGCGUGCGGGCGAUACGGGCAGACUGGAGUACUGCAGGGGAGACUGGAAUUCCUGGUGUAGCGGUGAAAUGCGUAGAUAUCUGGAGGAACACCGGUGGCGAAGGCGGCAUCCUGGACCGGCAUUGACGCUGAAUAGCGAAAGCCAGGGGAGCAAACGGG